This 253-nucleotide ribosomal RNA is filed under the name uncultured bacterium. RNAcentral's name for it is "partial 16S ribosomal RNA". It matches the Rfam family "Bacterial small subunit ribosomal RNA", at positions 524 to 776 of the family's 1533-position model. The record is from RNAcentral.
UACGUAGGGUCCAAACAUUACCCGGAUUUAUUGGGCGUAAAGAGUUCGUAGGCGGUUUUGUAAGUUGGAUAUUAAAGACCCAGGCUCAACCUGGGGAAAGUAUUCAAAACUGCAUAACUAGAGGUGUGCAGGGGAAGAUGGAACUUGUGGUGUAGCAGUGAAAUGCGUAGAUAUCACAAGGAACGCCAAUGGUGAAGACAGUCUUCUGGGCACAUCCUGACGCUGAGGAACGAAAGCGUGGGGAGCGAACGGG